CCUACGGGAGGCAGCAGUGAGGAAUAGUGGUCAAUGGGCGCGAGCCUGAACCAGCCAAGUAGCGUGAAGGAUGACUGCCCUACGGGUUGUAAACUUCUUUUAAGGGGGAAGAGCAGAAGACGGUACCCCUUGAAUAAGCCACGGCUAACUACGGGCCAGCAGCCGCGGUAAUACGUAGGUGGCAAGCGUUGUCCGGAUUUACUGGGUGGAAAGGGCGUGCAGCCGGGAAGACAAGUCAGAUGUGAAAUCCCGCGGCUCAACCGCGGAACUGCCUUUGAAACUGUUUUUCUUGAGUAUCGGAGAGGUAAUCGGAAUUCCUAGUGUAGCGGUUAAAUGCGUCGAUAUUAGGCAGAACACCAGUGGCGAAGGCGGCUUACUGGACGACAACUGACGGUGAGGCGCGAAAGCGUGCGGAGCAAACAGGAUUAGAUACCCUGGUAGUC
Molecule: ribosomal RNA, 443 nt
Filed under: uncultured bacterium
Lineage: Bacteria
Description: partial 16S ribosomal RNA
Rfam family: Bacterial small subunit ribosomal RNA
Source: RNAcentral